This 452-nucleotide unclassified non-coding RNA is filed under the name Hevea brasiliensis (rubber tree). Lineage: Eukaryota; Viridiplantae; Streptophyta; Magnoliopsida; Malpighiales; Euphorbiaceae. The record is from RNAcentral.
GAACAGAUGAUUUUCUUGACAGCCCUGUCAGCAACCUUCCCCAAAUAAUUUCUAGCUAUCACUGCAAUGGAUGAGCAAAGAGAAUCAUUUGUUCGAGCAACAUCACAGUUAAAUUUAAGAGUACCUCCAAGAGAAAGAAGCUAAUGCCAAGUUGUAAAUGAUCCUCCCCUUUCAACAGGAUCCGAUGGAGGAGAAAGAUCCAAUAACUGCAUAAAAUUCAUUAAGGGAUUCGGAUAUCUUGCGAGCAGUAUAACUUAGAUUUCGCUGAAUAUGUUCAAAAAGAGCUUUGUUCCUUGCUUUCCAAAUCCACCGGUAAGAAAAGGCUGAGAUAACCAGGAGGUCUUGAUUCCAUCUUCCUUCGAUCACUUGAGUAACUAAACCCGACUACAAUCUGCCAAUAGAAGUGAAGCCAAUAGAGUUUGGUUUAAACCUAGUGGGAUUGAUAAACCAAG